This 460-nucleotide ribosomal RNA is filed under the name uncultured bacterium. Its description in RNAcentral is "partial 16S ribosomal RNA". It matches the Rfam family "Bacterial small subunit ribosomal RNA", at positions 338 to 795 of the family's 1533-position model. The record is from RNAcentral.
CCUACGGGCGGCAGCAGUGAGGAAUAUUGGUCAAUGGACGAGAGUCUGAACCAGCCAAGUAGCGUGAAGGAUGACUGCCCUAUGGGUUGUAAACUUCUUUUAUAUGGGAAUAAAAUGUUCCACGUGUGGGAUUUUGUAUGUACCAUAUGAAUAAGGAUCGGCUAACUCCGUGCCAGCAGCCGCGGUAAUACGGAGGCUCCGAGCGUUAUCCGGAUUUAUUGGGUUUAAAGGGAGCGUAGGUGGAUUGUUAAGUCAGUUGUGAAAGUUUGCGGCUCAACCGUAAAAUUGCAGUUGAAACUGGCAGUCUUGAGUACAGUAGAGGUGGGCGGAAUUCGUGGUGUAGCGGUGAAAUGCUUAGAUAUCACGAAGAACUCCGAUUGCGAAGGCAGUUCACUGGACUGCAACUGACACUGAGGCUCGAAAGUGUGGGUAUCAAACAGGAUUAGAUACCCCUGUAGUC